CCCGCUGAACUUAAGCAUAUCAAUAAGCGGAGGAAAAGAAACCAACAGGGAUUGCCUUAGUAACGGCGAGUGAAGCGGCAAAAGCUCAAAUUUGAAAUCUGGCAGUAAUGUCCGAGUUGUAAUUUGAAGAAGGUAACUUUGGUGAUAGCUCUUGCAUAUGUUCCUUGGAACAGGACGUCAUAGAGGGUGAGAAUCCCGUAUAUGGUGAGAUGACAUAUUACUAUGUAAAGUGCCUUCGAAGAGUCGAGUUGUUUGGGAAUGCAGCUCUAAGUGGGUGGUAAAUUCCAUCUAAAGCUAAAUAUUGGCGAGAGACCGAUAGCGAACAAGUACAGUGAUGGAAAGAUGAAAAGAACUUUGAAAAGAGAGUGAAAAAGUACGUGAAAUUGCUGAAAGGGAAACGCUUGAUGUCAGUCACGUUGGCUAGGGAUCAACCUUGCUUCUCGCUGGGUGUAUUUCCUAGUGGACGGGUCAGCAUCAGUUUCGGUCGCUGUACAAGGGCAAAGGGAACGUGGCACUCCUUGGAGUGUGUUAUAGCCUUUCGUCGUAUGCAGUGGUUGGGACUGAGGAACUCGGCACGAAAUCUAUUUUGUGCUUAGGAUGCUGGCAUAAUGGCCUUAAGCGACCCGUCUUGAAACACGG
RNAcentral lists this ribosomal RNA (639 nucleotides) under uncultured fungus. RNAcentral describes it as "eukaryotic LSU rRNA". It matches the Rfam family "Eukaryotic large subunit ribosomal RNA", at positions 24 to 664 of the family's 3401-position model. Lineage: Eukaryota; Fungi. The record is from RNAcentral.